GAUGAACGCUGGCGGCGUGCCUAAUACAUGCAAGUCGAGCGAACGGACGAGAAGCUUGCUUCUCUGAUGUUAGCGGCGGACGGGUGAGUAACACGUGGAUAACCUACCUAUAAGACUGGGAUAACUUCGGGAAACCGGAGCUAAUACCGGAUAAUAUUUUGAACCGCAUGGUUCAAUAGUGAAAGACGGUCUUGCUGUCACUUAUAGAUGGAUCCGCGCUGCAUUAGCUAGUUGGUAAGGUAACGGCUUACCAAGGCAACGAUGCAUAGCCGACCUGAGAGGGUGAUCGGCCACACUGGAACUGAGACACGGUCCAGACUCCUACGGGAGGCAGCAGUAGGGAAUCUUCCGCAAUGGGCGAAAGCCUGACGGAGCAACGCCGCGUGAGUGAUGAAGGUCCUCGGAUCGUAAAACUCUGUUAUUAGGGAAGAACAUAUGUGUAAGUAACUGUGCACAUCUUGACGGUACCUAAUCAGAAAGCCACGGCUAACUACGUG
Molecule: ribosomal RNA, 497 nt
Filed under: uncultured bacterium
Lineage: Bacteria
Description: partial 16S ribosomal RNA
Rfam family: Bacterial small subunit ribosomal RNA
Source: RNAcentral